This 415-nucleotide non-coding RNA is filed under the name Firmicutes bacterium CAG:582. Its description in RNAcentral is "Bacterial small subunit ribosomal RNA". It matches the Rfam family "Bacterial small subunit ribosomal RNA", at positions 1 to 370 of the family's 1533-position model. The record is from Rfam by way of RNAcentral. Lineage: Bacteria; Bacillati; Bacillota.
UUUUAUGAGAGUUUGAUCCUGGCUCAGGAUGAACGCUGGCGGCAUGCCUAAGACAUGCAAGUCGUACGAAGCGGCCCAAUGAUUUGUUUAGAAGCACUGAGAGCUUGCUCAAAGUGUGAAAGAAUAAUGAUUUGGAUUUUCCGCUUAGUGGCAAACGGGUGAGUAACACGUGGGUUACCUACCUCCUAGAUGGGGAUACCAAUUGGAAACGAUUGUUAAUACCGAAUGUGAUCUAUGGAUUAAAGAAGCCUUUAAAGCUUCGCUAGGAGAUGGGCCUGCGGUGCAUUAGAUAGUUGGUGGGGUAAUGGCCUACCAAGUCGACGAUGCAUAGCUGAACUGAGAGGUUGAUCGGCCACAUUGGGACUGAGACACGGCCCAAACUCCUACGGGAGACAGCAGUUAGGAAUAUUCGUCA